RNAcentral lists this ribosomal RNA (245 nucleotides) under uncultured bacterium. RNAcentral's name for it is "partial small subunit ribosomal RNA". It matches the Rfam family "Bacterial small subunit ribosomal RNA", at positions 26 to 285 of the family's 1533-position model. The record is from RNAcentral.
AGAAUCAACGCUGGCGGCGUGCCUAACACAUGCAAGUCGCACGAGAAAAGGGCUUCGGCUCUAAGUAAAGUGGCGUACGGGUGAGUAACACGUGAAUUAUCUACCUCCGAGUGGGGAAUAACCUAGAGAAAUCUGGGCUAAUACCGCAUAACACUUACGAGUCAAAGCAGUAAUGCGCUUGGAGAGGAGUUCGCGGCAGAUUAGCUAGUUGGCGGGGUAAUGGCCCACCAAGGCAAUGAUCUGUA